AUCGGUAUGUUUAACUGGCGUAACGUGGUUAACAAUGAUGGAGUACAUACUUAUAUAGCCGUACGCCUGGGCAAAGCAU
This 79-nucleotide non-coding RNA is filed under the name Bacillus sp. (in: firmicutes). Its description in RNAcentral is "Bacillus sp. ZTP sequence". It matches the Rfam family "ZMP/ZTP riboswitch aptamer (pfl RNA motif)". Rfam says of the family: Previously known as pfl RNA. ZMP is also known as AICAR. The record is from RNAcentral. Lineage: Bacteria; Bacillati; Bacillota; Bacilli; Caryophanales; Bacillaceae.